This 273-nucleotide ribosomal RNA is filed under the name Triticum aestivum (bread wheat). Its description in RNAcentral is "partial small subunit ribosomal RNA". The record is from RNAcentral. Lineage: Eukaryota; Viridiplantae; Streptophyta; Magnoliopsida; Poales; Poaceae.
AUGUAUGCUGGUUCAAACCCCACCUUGGAGAUUAGGAACUCUGACUUGCUCUCCAGCAUACCACCUGAACAUCUUCUUCAACUGCUCCACUUUGGCGGCGAUCUUCUCAUUGCUGAGGAAUGCAACAGCCUUCAGCGCGUGCCUGAACAUCCGAGAGCCACAGGGCACACCAAUAGCUUGGGCGCGUGCUGCCAUUGCCUGGACGCACUCUACGUUUGAGGCGAGCAGCCAUGGCUCAGCGAUGCACAACUUGGCAAUGUCACAGUCACCUAG